Molecule: small nuclear RNA, 163 nt
Filed under: Vicugna pacos (alpaca)
Lineage: Eukaryota; Metazoa; Chordata; Mammalia; Artiodactyla; Camelidae
Description: U1 spliceosomal RNA (ENSVPAG00000016207.1)
Rfam family: U1 spliceosomal RNA
About the family: U1 is a small nuclear RNA (snRNA) component of the spliceosome (involved in pre-mRNA splicing). Its 5' end forms complementary base pairs with the 5' splice junction, thus defining the 5' donor site of an intron. There are significant differences in sequence and secondary structure between metazoan and yeast U1 snRNAs, the latter being much longer (568 nucleotides as compared to 164 nucleotides in human).
Source: Rfam by way of RNAcentral
AUUCUUACCUGGUAGGGGAAAUACCAUGAUCACAAGUGUGGUUUUCCCAGGGCGAGGCUCAUCCAUUGCACUCUGGAUAUGCUGACCCCUGCGAUUUCCCCAAAUGUGGGAAACUGGACUGCAUAAUUUGUGGUAGUGGGAGAAAUCACCUGAUUUUCACCAA